AUUGAACGCUGGCGGCAUGCCUUACACAUGCAAGUCGAACGGCAGCGCGGGAGCAAUCCUGGCGGCGAGUGGCGAACGGGUGAGUAGUGCAUCGGAACGUGCCCAGUUGUGGGGGAUAGCCCGGCGAAAGCCGGAUUAAUACCGCAUGAGACCUGAGGGUGCAAGCGGGGGCUCGAAAGACCUCGCGCGACUGGAGCGGCCGAUGUCAGGUUAGGUAGUUGGUGGGGUAAGGGCCUACCAAGCCUGCGAUCUGUAGCUGGUCUGAGAGGACGACCAGCCACACUGGGACUGAGACACGGCCCAGACUCCUACGGGAGGCAGCAGUGGGGAAUUUUGGACAAUGGGCGCAAGCCUGAUCCAGCCAUGCCGCGUGCGGGAAGAAGGCCUUCGGGUUGUAAACCGCUUUUGUCGGGGAAGAAACGGCCUGGGCUAAUACCUUGGGCUAAUGACGGUACCCGAAGAAUAAGCACCGGCUAACUACGUGCCAGCCGCCGCCGUAA
This 500-nucleotide ribosomal RNA is filed under the name uncultured bacterium. Its description in RNAcentral is "partial 16S ribosomal RNA". It matches the Rfam family "Bacterial small subunit ribosomal RNA", at positions 28 to 523 of the family's 1533-position model. The record is from RNAcentral.